UAACGGCUGAACCAGCAACUAGGAGGAACGAAUAGCUACAGCUAACUGUGUAUAUUUACACGGUAUCGGCACUGUUGAAUAAAGUUCUGGGUAAGAUUUUAUCAUGAAAUUUUUUGCCCAUGUGUCUUGACCAAAUUGUGUGCCAGCAGUCGCGGUAAUACACAAAAGACUAGUGUUAUCCAUCUUUAUUAGGUUUAAAAUGUACCUAGACGGCAAAUCAAGCUAAAGGCGGGACUAGUUUGCUAGAGUUUCUUAUGAGUGGGCUUUAAAGUACUAAUGGUGGAGAGAUAAAAUAUUGUCAUACCAUUCUUCGUAAUGAAGAAAGAAGGCACUGGUAACGGUGAAAGCAUCCCCCUAUGUGAUAACUGAC
RNAcentral lists this ribosomal RNA (370 nucleotides) under Vermilacinia combeoides. RNAcentral describes it as "SSU rRNA". It matches the Rfam family "Bacterial small subunit ribosomal RNA", at positions 377 to 744 of the family's 1533-position model. Lineage: Eukaryota; Fungi; Ascomycota; Lecanoromycetes; Lecanorales; Ramalinaceae. The record is from RNAcentral.